RNAcentral lists this ribosomal RNA (462 nucleotides) under bacterium enrichment culture clone Ean11. RNAcentral describes it as "bacterial SSU rRNA". It matches the Rfam family "Bacterial small subunit ribosomal RNA", at positions 48 to 517 of the family's 1533-position model. The record is from RNAcentral.
CUUACACAUGCAGUCGAACGGAAGGCCUUUGUUAGCUUCGGCUGGCGGGGUACUCGAGUGGCGAACGGGUGAGUAACACGUGGGUGAUCUGCCCUGCACUUCGGGAUAAGCCUGGGAAACUGGGUCUAAUACCGGAUAGGACCAUCGUUUAGUGUCGGUGGUGGAAAGUUUUUCGGUGCAGGAUGAGCUCGCGGCCUAUCAGCUUGUUGGUGGGGUAAUGGCCUACCAAGGCGUCGACGGGUAGCCGGCCUGAGAGGGUGGACGGCCACAUUGGGACUGAGACACGGCCCAGACUCCUACGGGAGGCAGCAGUGGGAAAUAUUGCACAAUGGGCGCAAGCCUGAUGCAGCGACGCCGCGUGGGGGAUGAAGGCCUUCGGGUUGUAAACUCCUUUCAACCAUGACGAAGCGUGAGUGACGGUAGUGGUAGAAGAAGCACCGGCUAACUACGUGCCAGCAGCCG